This 625-nucleotide ribosomal RNA is filed under the name Pteridomonas danica. RNAcentral describes it as "partial Bacterial large subunit ribosomal RNA". It matches the Rfam family "Bacterial large subunit ribosomal RNA", at positions 30 to 677 of the family's 2925-position model. Lineage: Eukaryota; Dictyochophyceae; Pedinellales. The record is from RNAcentral.
GCCUUGGCAGUAAGAGGCGAUGAAGGACGUGAUACCCUGCGAUAAGCCAUGGGGAGCCGGGAAUAGGCUUUGAUCCAUGGAUCUCCGAAUGGGGCAACCCACCUGACAGUUUGUUAUUGUUGGCUUCGGCCAUUCAAUAGCGGGCUGAAACAGGUACUUAUUACCUGAAUACAUAGGGUUUUAAGAGCGAACCCGGGGAACUGAAACAUCUAAGUACCCGGAGGAAAGGAAAUCAAUUGAUACUCCCCUAGUAGCGGCGAGCGAACGGGGACCAGCCGAGCCUUGAGAGUGACCAGAACUACCUGGAAAGGUAGGCCAUAGUGGGUGACAGCCCCGUAUGGGAAGCUCAAUGGGACGUAUUAAGUAGGGCGGAACACGUGAAAUUCUGUCUGAAGAUCGGAGGACCACCUUCGAAGGCUAAGUACUCCUUACUGACCGAUAGUGAACCAGUACCGUGAGGGAAAGGUGAAAAGCACCCCGAUUAGGGGAGUGAAACAGUACCUGAAACCGAAUGCUUACAAGCAGUUGGAGCUCCAUAGGGAGUGACAGCGUACCUCUUGCAUAAUGGGUCAGUGACUUAAUCUACCAUGCAAGCUUAAGCCGUUAGGUGUAGGCGCAGCGAAAG